UAUGUCUCCGUCAAAGACAAGUCUGUGUGUC
RNAcentral lists this non-coding RNA (31 nucleotides) under Mus musculus (house mouse). Lineage: Eukaryota; Metazoa; Chordata; Mammalia; Rodentia; Muridae. The record is from RNAcentral.